CCUACGGGGGCUGCAGUGGGGAAUAUUGGACAAUGGGCGAAAGCCUGAUCCAGCCAUGCCGCGUGUGUGAAGAAGGCCUUCGGGUUGUAAAGCACUUUCAGUGGGGAAGAAAGCCUUGGGGCUAAUACCCUCGAGGAAGGACAUCACCCACAGAAGAAGCACCGGCUAACUCCGUGCCAGCAGCCGCGGUAAUACGGAGGGUGCGAGCGUUAAUCGGAAUUACUGGGGGUAAAGCGCGCGUAGGCGGUCUGAUAAGCCGGUUGUGAAAGCCCCGGGCUCAACCUGGGAACGGCAUCCGGAACUGUCAGGCUAGAGUGCAGGAGAGGAAGGUAGAAUUCCCGGUGUAGCGGUGAAAUGCGUAGAGAUCGGGAGGAAUACCAGUGGCGAAGGCGGCCUUCUGGACUGACACUGACGCUGAGGUGCGAAAGCGUGGGUAGCAAACAGGAUUAGAUACCCUUGUAGUC
RNAcentral lists this ribosomal RNA (464 nucleotides) under Vreelandella stevensii. RNAcentral's name for it is "partial 16S ribosomal RNA". It matches the Rfam family "Bacterial small subunit ribosomal RNA", at positions 338 to 795 of the family's 1533-position model. Lineage: Bacteria; Pseudomonadati; Pseudomonadota; Gammaproteobacteria; Oceanospirillales; Halomonadaceae. The record is from RNAcentral.